Molecule: ribosomal RNA, 253 nt
Filed under: uncultured bacterium
Lineage: Bacteria
Description: partial 16S ribosomal RNA
Rfam family: Bacterial small subunit ribosomal RNA
Source: RNAcentral
UACGUAGGGGGCUAGCGUUGUCCGGAUUUAUUGGGCGUAAAGAGCUCGUAGGCGGUUUGUUGCGUCGGCUGUGAAAUCCCGAGGCUCAACCUCGGGUCUGCAGUCGAUACGAGCAAACUAGAGUGUUGCAGGGGAGACUGGAAUUCCUGGUGUAGCGGUGAAGUGCGCAGAUAUCAGGAGGAACACCGGUGGCGAAGGCGGGUCUCUGGGCAACAACUGACGCUGAGGAGCGAAAGCGUGGGGAGCGAACAGG